GCCGGGGUGGCGGAACAGGCAGACGCGGCGGACUCAAAAUCCGCUGAACUUCGGUUCAUAAGGGUUCAACUCCCUUCCUCGGCA
RNAcentral lists this transfer RNA (84 nucleotides) under Spirochaetota bacterium. RNAcentral's name for it is "Spirochaetes bacterium (freshwater sediment metagenome) tRNA-Leu". It matches the Rfam family "tRNA". From Rfam's summary of the family: Transfer RNA (tRNA) molecules are approximately 80 nucleotides in length. Their secondary structure includes four short double-helical elements and three loops (D, anti-codon, and T loops). The record is from RNAcentral. Lineage: Bacteria; Pseudomonadati; Spirochaetota.